GUGGGUAUAGCUCAGUGGUAGAGCACAUGCUUAGCAUACACAAGGUCCUGGGUUCAAUCCCCAGGACCUCCA
This 72-nucleotide transfer RNA is filed under the name Camelus bactrianus (Bactrian camel). It matches the Rfam family "tRNA". Rfam says of the family: Transfer RNA (tRNA) molecules are approximately 80 nucleotides in length. Their secondary structure includes four short double-helical elements and three loops (D, anti-codon, and T loops). The record is from Rfam by way of RNAcentral. RNAcentral also lists the same sequence under 2 other names. Lineage: Eukaryota; Metazoa; Chordata; Mammalia; Artiodactyla; Camelidae.